AUGGGCCUCUUCGGCAAAAGCAAUGGCAAGAGGAAGGGCACCCCCGGCGCCUCGUCAUCCCGUGCUCCCCCUCCCCCUCCACCGCCGGCGCGUUUCCGCCCUGGACGCCGGCGCCUACACAUCCCGGUGCACCAAGCGCGGUGGCACUGGGAGUACAGGCACCCCCUCCCCUACCCCGACAUGACGCUGCCGCACCAUUGGCAUUUGGAUCCAAACCGGAUCCCGGUGCCGGCGGUUCCGUGGACCCAACGGGCGCACGAUGACGAGGUGCGUCGGCGCCGCACGCUGCUCACGCCGGAGCAGCGUCGGCUUCCCGAGUACGCCACCAACUCUCCUAACUGGGAGGCUUGGUUCGCCCUCGAACACGAGGAGCAACGACGCUCGGGUGUCGACGUCGUCCCGCCGCUGUUCCACCGCCGCCCCCGCAGGUAG
This 432-nucleotide ribosomal RNA is filed under the name Triticum aestivum (bread wheat). Its description in RNAcentral is "partial small subunit ribosomal RNA". Lineage: Eukaryota; Viridiplantae; Streptophyta; Magnoliopsida; Poales; Poaceae. The record is from RNAcentral.